UUAACGUAUAAUUAUUUCAGCUUGAAAAAUGUUAAACUACCGCAUCAGUAUUUUUGGUAGAAGUGCCAAUAAAUUUGUUUUACGUUUAUAUAAAAAGUAAUAUUUUUAUGUAGGAGAUGGCGAUGGAGGUAGAAGAUGCGAACGAGGUCAAGGUAGAGGUUACGAACCUUAGUAUGACAUCCCACUUAGAGGCAGAAGAGUCACGUCCCCCAGCAUCAAGACACUAUGAAAGAUCCAACUAGUACAGCAGCAAAUAGAACUGCUCUUGGUGGAGCUCAGUUUCAUGAUUUUCAACAUGGUGGAGAAUUUUGACGUAGACAACAAUUACAUUCUUGAUACCAGCAGAAGAUUAAAGAGCAACGACCAGUAGAGCAGCUGCAAGAAUUACACCUGUUGAGGUAUCGCUCUGAUCGAACAUAGGUGGGCAGUCGUGUUCAGCCAUGCCUCUUGCUUCUGUAUCUCAGUCAAAAAGUGCAGUACUGUAGAUAUUAUUUCGACUGCAAUGAAGAGACUGGGUUUUGAGAACCUAUACUGGAUCUACAAAGCAUAACUUUGCUAAAAGACCGGACAUUGGCAUUAAGGGUAAAAAGAUGAAUUUACUAGCGAAUUAUUUUCCAAUCGAUAUUACUACACGGAGAAUUGUAUCAUUAUGAUGUGGAAAUUCAAAAUUUUCUGCUCAGUAGAAGAGUGGUAUUGAAAGUAAAACUACACAUAAAAGGAUAAUGUCAAAACACUAAAUUGAAGAGAAGAGUUAUUGAAAAAAUUAUUAUUCGUGAAAUUGCUGUAUUUCGAAAUAUUAGACCAGUAUUUGAUGGCACGAAAAACUUGUACACCUGAAAACCGUUACCGAUAAGACACAAAAAUAUUUUCUGUAAGGGCUAAGAUUGAUUGAUUUUUAAUCCCGAAAAAAAGGAUGACAGGUUUAAUUAUUUUAUAUAUUAACAGGAUAGACAGCUCUUGUCUUGUUGCUGGGGGACGUGACUCUUUUCUGCCUCUAAAUGGGAUGUAAUACUGAGGUUCAUGACCUCGACCUCGUUCGCGUCCUCUACCUCCAUCGUCAUCCCUUACAUAAAAAUAAAAGGUUAGAUGACAAUUCAAUUAGUUUAGAACCAUUACAUGAGUUGUUAAUAGAUAGAUGCAGUGAAAGUAUUAUUAUGGGAAUGAUUGUCAGAGACCAUACUAAGACACGGUUCUGCUCUACAUUUGAUUCCAGUUAGAACUUUUUUCAUAAAGCCUCACGUGGAUGAAGUUCCUCUAUUAGGUGGAGGGAAACUUGGUUUGGUCAUCAUCAAAGCAUGCAGCUGUGUCAAUGGACGCCCAUGUUAAACAUUGAUAAAUCGGCAACGGCAUUUUUAUAGAAGCUGCUCCGUUGAGUUUAUGUUUACGAAAACUUAACGAAAACGUUAAGUUGGCUGCAGGACAGAUGAGAUGUCUCAGAUACUGAAAGAAAAACUCUAAGAAAAAGAAUAAAUUUAAAAGUUGGAGUAACCGCUUUCCCUUGUAAACGAAAAUACAGUACAAAGUUAGACACAUAACAAGAGAUAAUGCUAACAUUUUUAUGAGAAGAAUUAAUAAGGAAGCUCUUUAUUUGGUAUCAGAAUAUUUUCGGUCUCCAAUAUAAACCAUUAAUAUAUCCUAAUUUUCCUUGUUUAAAUGUGGGAAAUAAUAACAAAGAUGUCUAUUUACCAUUGGAAGUGUGCAAUAUUUUAGGUCAGCACUAAUAAAUUGACAAACUUCAGAAAUGAUUAGCUACAAGGCUCGACCUCCUGCAGAAAGAUUCAAUGACAUCAAACACUCUGGUUGAAAGUCUUGCAUCAUAGCAUUAAAAUUCUCUAGGAAGUUUGUACUUACAAUUUCUUUUCAAGUGUACAGGCAGAUUGGACCCUCCAAUAGUUACGUACGAUGGAAGACAUCAGACCUUGUAACGGAAGCUGGAAUAUGGUAAAUAAGUUUCACACUUGGAGUGCCAAUUGACAAUUGGGAAACAUUAUAUGAUAAGGGGAUGGAAAAACUCGUCCACAGAUAUGACAAAUGCCCCAAUCUUCACGGUGAUUAUGCCGAAAAAUAACAAUGUUUGUACCUAACUUUUGGUAAUAAAUUCAUCUUGUUAUUUACACUUGUCUGUUUUAUGGAUCAUCGGAGCUUUAAAAAAACCGCUUUCAUAGUUAGUAUUUUUAAUAUUUAUUUGUAUAAAAAAUUAAUUUUUAAAUAUUUAAUAAGAGGAGAAAUCGGGCGAUAAAAUUCUACAUCUACAUAUAUUCGACAGCAUUUGCACUUCAAUUUUACCCUUCCAGAAUAGUUAAUUCAAUUAAAAAGUGUGCGAUCUAGCGCUACUUCAGCCCCUUGUUCAGAAAGAAAAAUAUGAACUUUGAUGAAUUAGUCUGGUUCAUUCAGAAAAAUCAAGUACUUAUUUAGAGCAGGGAUGAUAAAGGAAUGAUCCAAAAUAUUUAAAUUCAAUUGGGUCAAAAUAA
RNAcentral lists this long non-coding RNA (2471 nucleotides) under Centruroides sculpturatus (bark scorpion). RNAcentral describes it as "uncharacterized LOC111615150". Lineage: Eukaryota; Metazoa; Arthropoda; Arachnida; Scorpiones; Buthidae. The record is from RNAcentral.